RNAcentral lists this long non-coding RNA (221 nucleotides) under Carica papaya (papaya). RNAcentral describes it as "long non-coding RNA (CPAP_LNC010538)". Lineage: Eukaryota; Viridiplantae; Streptophyta; Magnoliopsida; Brassicales; Caricaceae. The record is from RNAcentral.
UAAUCAACUCUCUCAAACUAACAUUUAGCUUGUCAUUCUAACUGUUGCGUUUGUGAGAAACUGACUGCUUAUUUUUGUAUAUUAUAUUGAAGGAGUUAUAUACACAUAUAUAUACAGAAAUAGAGAUAAGUAGGAGAGGAGUAUGGAUGCAUGCAGAAGGAGAGAAGGUGUGUUGCAGAAGCUAAAAGUGCUGAGAUGAGAGUUAUCUCCCAACACUAACA